This is a long non-coding RNA of Ooceraea biroi (clonal raider ant), 8604 nucleotides long. RefSeq lists it as uncharacterized. NCBI's taxonomy places the organism in Eukaryota, Metazoa, Arthropoda, Insecta, Hymenoptera, Formicidae. The record is from RefSeq and is a predicted model, not a curated record.
GUUUUUAUUCAUACUGCUUUCUUGCUUAUAAAACAAAUACAAUUUCUAGAUUGUACUUUAUAUUAUAAAAUUUACAAGUAUAUGUCGCAAAGCUCCGGGGUAAGAGAGAGAAAGAUAUAUGAGCGCCGCUUUAGACACAGACGACAGUCGAAUACGAAAUAUAUUUUCAGUAAUAUUGCCAUCGACGAUUGUACGUCAUCUAUUCGAUUUGUCUAUCGCUGAUGCACGCAAGGCAGAUUCAUCUUCAGGUACCUGCUCUGAAUAGGCGAGAAUUGUAUGACGCAGCGACGAAAAAGUUAUGCGUGAAUACUUGCGUUUGACAAUACAUAUAUUGGUAAAAUACACGCACGAAUCCAAUCACAAAACUGAUCAACCGCGUACAAUUUUGUGCAUAUUUCCAUAACAACGGCAACAGUAGCAGCAGCAGCAGCAGCAGCAGCAACAACAGAAAUAGCAAAACAAAAUAAUAAUAACAACAAUAACAAAUAAUAAUAAGUCAUUAACAUUAAGUUCUCCGGAUCGCGUCUAGGCGAUUAAUCAAACUACACAUAAUAUUUAUGGCACCACAACAUAGCUUGUCAUGUAUAAAUUUCAUAAUAGAAUAAGCAGUCUUUAAAAAAUAAAAAACAAAAUUCUCCAAAACAUCUGCAUUGAAUUAUAUCGUCAUCUAGACACGAUCCGGAUUACUGAGUUAAUGAUCUAUUAUAAUAUAAAAUCAAAAUUAAUAUUCCUUAUAAUAUUAAUAAACGCGGGCUCUAAGGCUAAAAUUCUAUUAACGCUGCUGUCGUUUGUACGUGAGUCUUACUGAAAUUACGGCACGAGAAGGAUUAUAUAUAAUUUUUUUACUUUUGAACCGUUUCGAGCGAGCUUUUACAUUACAUGCAAAACGCAAAAAGGCGCGAAAGAGAGGGCGUCUUUACGAAGGAGAAGGGCGUGUCGGUAUUUUCUGCCUUUUCCCUCUCUUUCUCUCUGUUUUCUUUUUCAAGGCAGCGAAUUAAUGCACAUGCCAUAAAGUACACUCCUGCAGAAGAAGCCACCCGUUCGACUUUACGUUUUCUCGAUAGAGCUACAAAACUGAACGCGCCGAUACGUACGUAAGAUGGGAAAGUUAAAAGUUGCUUGCAGGAUCGAGAAUCUGCUAAUACUUUCAGCUUCUCUUUAUACUGUAAAUAAAUAAUACUUUUAUUUUUUUACCUCGAAUAUAAUAUCUCGCACGAUAUAUCGCCACCCAACAAUAUUAUAUUACCAUCAUAUCAUUGAUGCCAUUAUUUAAUCUGCGAUUAUCAAGGUGUAUUGAUUUUUGUUUGAAGUUUACUUGCAAAUGAGCAAAAUGUGUGAUCAAAGCGGAAGAGGAAUGAUCGAUUAGAAAUUAAGCUCGUUCUUCAAGUACGUGAGACACUUGGUAGCACCACCUUGUUGAUGGCUAAAAUCUAAUCAAAUUUCCUAAAUAUUGACCACUUUAUCGAGCUGAUCUCAUUUGAUUUGGCUGAGAAAAUCACUACUCGCUGAAUUUGCAACGUACCGUUUGAGCAAUUAAUAGCAAUUAAUCACAGUUAAUAACCCUAAUGCGAUGAGUAUUGCUUUUAAUCUAUUAUUCAUUGUACAUCUUGCAAGCAAUUAAAUUUAUGGUCGGAUGGCAAGACUAUAGUGAGCAUGUACGCAUGUGUCGCAUUAUAAAUCAAUAUAUGCUAAUACCGUGUUUCAUGAUACGCAUUUCAACUUGUUUCGACGGUACACGACGAUACAUACAUCAACUAAUCAACUCGACAUGAUACGAAAAUUAUGUCAUGUAUAUCAUAUUUAGCGCAAGCGUUACAUUUGAUAUGGUUAUAAGUUAUUCCAUGCGUGCGACUGAUACGCAGGAUAUGAUCAGACUAUGAAGUUAUGUCACCGAUGCAUUGUCAAUGGUGGGAUGAUUUCAACUUUACACCAUACGGAUUUACCGUAUCUCGCAAACCCCUCUCGCAAAAUGGAACGUGUUUCAACAUCUUGCACCGUUGAAAUUGUUUGUUUCAUCUCAACCCAUUUAUGGCAAAAACAACAUUUUUUACAACAUUUAAUAUUUCUAUGAUUUAUGAGAUUUACAGACUCUAGUAUCACGCAUUUGGUAAUGGUUCAAAAAAGCACUACAAAAUCAUGCAACAUUAUACAGUAUGUAUAAAACAAAGAUAUGUAUGAAUGAUAUAAUGUUUAGUUUUUAAUUUUUUAAUAUUAGUCAUAUAUAAAAAUAUUAAGUUUUCUGUGUAUUUAACAUUUAUAACGUACAGUUCUAAACUAAUAUAUCUACACAGAAAAAAAGUUGUGUUAAUGUAAUAAAGUAAACUUUAUCGGAACAAUCGGGCCCAAACUUUUGACUGACUUAACAUAUCAUAAUAUAUACCAUUUUCCAUGUGUAUUUUAUUAUUUAUAAUUAUUGUAAUUUUCAAAUAAAAUCAAACCGCAAAAUACUAGUCUUCACGAUGUCUGCUCAUCCGAUAAAACAUGCUGCGCGCGCGCGAAACUGAUACCUCUGUCAACAUACAGAAAAAUCCCACUACGUGUCAGGUCCUUAUCAAAUUCCACGGACAUUGACAGUAUAAAUGCGUCUCCGGCGGAGGAUUCACAGUCUCGUUGUGACAACACGUAAGAAAUGUAGUUUGCCCGAGUGGACAAUGACUGCUUCGGUAGUCGAGGCACGUAUCGCGCGCGCCGAAGGAACAUCGCAGCCGCUUCAUUCUCGACGAGGACGAAUGAAUCGAGAGACGCUUGACAUUACAAUUAUCGGAUGAACGUGGCGCGGGCACCGUUGCGUCCGUCUUAAAUCAAAGAAAAUGGAUGACGUGCACUGCUGGAGGAACCACGGCGAUUAGCCGAGAACAUUCUGUGAUUUAUGACGCCAGAAAGGACGCAGGCGAAACGAAUCUUCUGAUGGCUCUGAUAAAAUAAAGAUACCCGUGCCAGAACAAAAUAUUCAAUGGUUUCACACGCAUACACACACACACACACACACACACCUCUUGGAUAUGAUCAAUGAGAAACGAAGAAACUAACAGCAAGUAAUAAAGGAUUUUUGAAGAAACUAACGUUGCCUUUCAAUAUAAGUAAGUAUGCAAUUUGUUUCCCAAUAUACCAGGGUAGAUUGAAAAGUUUCCGACCUGACUAAGAAAAAAAACAUUUUUUUGAGCUAAAUGAAAUUUAUUUCUCAAAAAGUCUCCCUUCGACUUCAAUACACUUGGUCCAGCGCAUUUUUCAAGACCUGUCAUUCCUUCAGUAGAAUAACUUUUGUUUAAAUCCGAAAAAUAGUCAUUAACGGCACUUAUAACUUCAGCAUCCGACGAACACUUUGUCCCAGAUAGCCAUUUUUUUUAAAUUUGGAAACAGGAAAAAAUCGCACGGGGCCAAAUCUGAAGAGUACGGUGGAUGUGGAAUUAAUUCGUACUUCAGUUCAUACAAUUUCGCCAUCGCAAUUGCUAAUUUGUGCACCGAUUUCCUAUUUCUCCAUUGUUGACAAACUGUAACUUUGAAGGGCUGUCAGAAACAAAUGAAUCGCUAGAAUGACAUCAAACUUAGCUCUUUGUGUUUCUUUCACUGUCAUCUAUUGGACAAGUAUUGAAAUUUGAGUGAAAUCUUGCUCUUUUUCGGUUAGGUUCGGAAACUUUUCAAUCUAUCCUCGUAUUGUACGCAAUAUUUUCCCAAUACAUACAACUACAGAUGUAUCGCCGCGUUAUCGAAAGCUAAUAAAUUAUGGACGCUGCGUUGGUAAGUGUAAUCAGGUUUACGUGGCCCUUAUCACGUUAUAUUAGAUUAUUAUAAUGCGAGACGUAUAAUUAAACUUGAAUGCAAUCUGGUACGGCGUACUUUGAAAGCGCCUGAAAGCUCCUGCCGUUGACACCGUGUCCAUGAAGGACGCGCAAUUGUACGUGCACUUUAACGUGUGUGCAUCGGGAGUCGAUGUGUAUGCCGCGUUAAAGGCUAUAACGAGUCCUCGUGUGGCGCGAUAAUUACAAGCCUCGGGUAUCCGCGGAAAGCACGCGCGGAUUGCGUUAUGACAUGAUUAUUGUAGCUUGGCUCGCCAGCAAGCUGCAGAGUAACAUGCCUCGCAAUACACUCUUCCGCGAUAUAUCACGUCGCGCGUUCAUUUUAUGCGCAAUUACAACACGUUAUAAUUUGCCCAUGAAAAUGUAAAGCGAUACAAAUCGUUUGGCUUAUCGGGUACAAAUCGUCACCAUCAAAUGCGACAUUUUCCGCAGCCAAAUGAAAUAAAUAUCCCAGCAAAUCAUGCAAAUGAGUAAAGCAGAAAUUCGGAUAUCACAAUUCUGGAAAUCGUCAUACCAAAUCCUCCCUUUACCCUUUCAACAAGUUUCUCCGUUGUUUUUUACGAUUGGAUAAUGAACGAAGGAUGUACAGCACAACAUCAGUGAAACAUCUAUUCGCCAAAGUGUCUUGACUUUGGCACUGACACAAUUUUAUAUAUAUAUAUAUAUAUAUACAAUUUACGUAUUUUGAGAUUCGACUUUAUAGAAUGUAGAAAAGCAAUUGAGAUGUAACAGGAGAUAAUGUGACAUCUCUCUCUCUCUCUCUCUCUGAAAGCGCAAUUUCUGCGAUACUCAACUGACAGGGUCAAAUACUGAUAAAGAUCGUUAUAACAAUUAUGCACGCAUGCAAGCAGAUUGCGUUAUGACAUGAUUAUUAUGGGUGUGGGUCCUGGUGCUGGUGUAACGGCGCAGUUACAAUACACUCCCCAGUAAUACGUCAAGCCAUACGUCUACUCCAUGUGCUGGUGCAUACUGGCUACGCGACAUGCAACUGCUCUCCCUCUCUUGGAGUACGGACGUCGGAUGGAGAGAAUGAGAAAUGCACAGACGCGAGUUUGCUCGAUGAACAGGAUGAAAGAGAUGAGAAAGGUCUUAUAAACACGUACAAGGUAAUAUCGCUCAUGUUUUGCUUCAAGUAGCAAUGUGCAACAGUGCAACAGUCUUUGUCAGUGUGUCUAAUUGAUAGAGAUAUGAGAAUUUUUAUUUAAUGUUGCAAAUGUUGUAUUAUUUUCAAAGGUAUCUGUAUAAUAACGCAAAUUUAAAAAUCACUCGUCCUUAAAAAUUGAAUCAAGAUCGAUCCAAUAAUUUCAAAUAUUAUUGUAAAUAUUUAUUUAGAAUGCAUUAUCAUUUAUGCUUUCUUAAUAAAAUGGGUGAUGAGACAAGAAAACAGUAUGAAAUGAGUGUUUGUAACAAAUCGAAUCGAUUUAUUUAUAAAAUUAGCAUAAGGAUCCUAUGCUUCAUGAGAAAUGAUGCUUUGGGUUAGGUUAGUUUCUCUGAGCGUAACGACGCAAGGUGAAAAGCGGAUUUCUCCCUCCGUCGCUCACGCGUUUUCUGUGAUAAUUCAUACAGAAAUGAACGCCGUCUUAUAUUGCAAUCGAUCAGUGUUAAGAUUUAUUCUGUUAACAACUUUUCAGUAAACAAUGAGUGGCAACUAAAAUUUUUUUUAAAUUAGUCAAAGCCAUAUCCUUGACAAUAUAUGUCAAGAUCAUUGAAUAAGGUCGCCUCCAAUCUUAACAUUUACCGGGAUUUUUUUUGUAUCGUCGACCUACUUGUCCCCUUUAUUUAUUCUUAUUUUAUCGCGUGUCGUUGAUGACAAACUAAGGAGCUGCUGCACUUUCCAUUUGCAAGUGCGAAGUGAAAUGUAGGACACUCGGAGGACUGAAAUGAAAAGAUAUCGGUGACUGGGGGACUAGAAUCCAUGAGAUUCUAUGAUUUUAUCACAAUAACGUUACUUCCCGCUAUUCCUCCAAGCUAGGAAAUAACUUUUACUUUGCGCACACCUUGAGAGAAAUGCUAUAAAAUACUAUCACCUUUUCAAUAAUUGAAAUAUUGAAAAAGCACGGACAUAAGAGCAAUUCCAGAUUCCAUAUUUUUUUCUGCGCGUAACCAUGUAAAAUCUACGCAAAUCUACAAUGAUGGUGCGAAUAAAUAAUCUGUUUCCGAUAAAACGAGGUAUGAGUAAUCGUAUUAGUGUACCACGUUUCUAUAAUUUUCCGCGUCAGUGGGUUAAACGGUAAUGACGGCACGCAUGCAUGUGUGUAUUAAGGCAGGCGGAACGUGGGCUAAUUCGCGGUAUGCAAGCUCAUAAAAAUUCAACGCCACUCGGAAUUCAUACGCGUCGUCGCGCCGCGGUGUGCCGUGUCGUCUCGAUGCGGUGCAGCACGACCGCAUUUAAAAAGGGCAAACAAAAGCAGCAUCCACCGGGCACACCGCUGCACUGCAUCUCCGUCCUCUCUCGAAGGAUGGAGUAACACGGCGUUCCGUACUUGCCGCGUGUGCAGCUCCAGAGAGAAUUAUACAUGGCGGAAUGCGCUGUCCGCGUUCGUUUUCGAACAAGCGAGUCGCCUGAAUCGAGACGAAAAAUCUAUCUUUUGUCUGUCUCUCGUCUUGUCGCCUUUAGAUCAGACAAAUCCCACAAGAAAUCUAAUUACUGAAGGAUCACUACAUAUAUGUAUAAUGAAGAAGUAGAAACAGACAUAUUGUGCAGUUAAUUUGAGUAAUGAUAAAAAGAAUCUGAUUGAAAAGUGAUUCCGUAAUGCACUUGUUUGUGAUCCCAUGCACGCAGAUGUAUGAGCCACACGUCCAGAUUCUGCACGUCUUUCAACGAAGCUGCCCGACGUGCCGAGAUCAAAAACACUGUUUCGAGCUUUCAAGGCUUUUCAACCUCGAGCUUUCGAGCUUAACUACCGGCACAUCACUAUGCGCACUUCACCGUCACGUAUCACAGAAACCAUAAGGACCGAAAACAACUUUGUUUCUCUGUACAUGUUGAAACUCUACAGCUAUGAUUACGGCUUUCGCGUAUACAUCAAUAUAAUUAGUAUCAUUGGUUUAGUUAAAAUUAUGUUAUGCAACAUUGCGUGCGUAUAAAUCUGAUUUAUUUAUUUUAUAACAGUUUACUUUUAAGUGAUUUUGUGUCACGGUACUUUUCUUUUCUACUUUCUUUAAUUCUACUUUCUUUAAUUGUGCGUCUUUUAACAUGUUCUUAAUUUAACAGUAUUGGGCAUUUCCUAGCCAAACAUUUUUAUAUUACCGCGAAAGAGCAGAGGAAUACUGUUGCAGCUAAAGAUAAGUUUAUUUUCUUUGCUAUUGUGCUUUUAUGUACCUUACAAGCGAGCACAUUCAUACAUCACAUUUUCUGUACGUUUCAAAUUGAUAUAGACUUGUAGAGUGUCGGAAAACGUGAUACACAUAUCUCGUUAUACAAAUGUGAUGAGGAAUUUAAAGAUGCGAAAUAUCGUAUCAAAACUCAACAGUUCAGGAAAUAUUUUGUCACAAAAUAAAUGUCAAAAUACUUCUUGGAUCGGAAAACAUUUGAAAAGUUUUAAAAUAUUCAGUACACUUUGCGACCAUAAUUAUCCUUACUGUUUUCGCAAAUUCAGAAAUUUGUAUAAAAACAAAGUUUAAUAGACAUUUCCUGAUUUUCUGAUUUAUCCGCAUAUAAUAAUAUCAUUUUCAUACUGUGCUUCGUCAUGCCAGUUUAAUAUGCAUCUAAAUUAUACAUAUCUUUAAGAAAACAAACUUCUAACAAAUUGAAAAAUUUUAACAGAAUUAUAAAUCAGAUGUGUAAAUGAUAUUUGAGAACAAUUUUUUUUCUGGAUCGUUCAUAUUAUUUAAAUAAAAGGUUAUUAAUUAUAAUCAUAAAAAUAUUACAUGUGUAUGUAUAAAAUGUCUUACUAAUUUUUUUUACGAUGGUUCUUGACCCCAUUUUUCAAACUAAAUAAAUUCUAAUAACAUUCUUUUCCGACAUCAACUAUACAUUACAGUUUUAAUUUACAUAAAUAAUAAUUUUUCUUCGAAAAAUACUUAUUUGCAAGAUAAAAUAUUAUAAUAUUGAUGAAAUUAUCUAUUCCAUGUGUUAUCAGUAUUAUUACAAAAAGCUGCAGAUAUGCAUAUUAAUUAUACAAAGAGCAUAAAAUUAUACUCUAAUGAUGAUUAUUAUUACAUUAAAUAUAUUUAAAACAAACUAUAAACUAAUUAUAACGCCAAUAAUAUAUUUAUUAUUAGUAACAAAAAUAUGUGGUUAUAUCGUAAAAAAAGUAUCGCACUAAAAUUUGUUCUAAUAAUAUAACGCAGAAUUUCCGAUAUUCCAAGUUACACGGAAACCUCGUUUACGUGUAUUUCCUAGCGUUCCUAUUUGCAUUAUCCGGAUUGUAUUAGUGCUGCAUAAAUUUUCAAUUUUCUCUGAAAUAAACAAUUGCUGACGAUAUGCGUUAUACAAUAAAAAUAAUUCUUCAUAGACUAUCUGACACAUACGUGAUAUUUGCAAGAAAGAAAUGUUUAAUGUGAUGCAACGUCUGCCUAUUCACUAAUUAAGUUUUUAUUAUACGGAAAAAACUGCACAUCCAUGUUCUCUCUAUUUAUGUAUUUCCUGAGCUAUGUUGGACACAAAAAAUAUCAAUCACAGCAACUGUGUAAAAGGUGACAAAAUUAUUCUAUGUCAUUCAAUUAUUUCGUCACAUUUAGUAAACCGAAAACGGAAAAAGGUAAUUUCUUCUGGUAAAACUAUAUAAAAACUAUUUGACCUGAUUGCCUGGUGAAAUAUAGUAUGCGUGAUCCAUCAAGGCAAGAAAUAAAAAACUAUAAAUAU